UACAGAGGGGGCAAGCGUUGUUCGGAAUUACUGGGCGUAAAGGGCGCGUAGGCGGCCUGCUAAGUCGAACGUGAAAUCCCCGGGCUCAACCCGGGAACUGCGUCCGAUACUGGCAGGCUUGAAUUCGGGAGAGGGAUGUGGAAUUCCAGGUGUAGCGGUGAAAUGCGUAGAUAUCUGGAGGAACACCGGUGGCGAAGGCAGCCUUCUGGGCCAACACUGACGCUCAUGGCACGAAAGCGUGGGGAGCAAACAGG
This 254-nucleotide ribosomal RNA is filed under the name uncultured bacterium. RNAcentral describes it as "partial 16S ribosomal RNA". It matches the Rfam family "Bacterial small subunit ribosomal RNA", at positions 524 to 776 of the family's 1533-position model. The record is from RNAcentral.